GAUGAACGCUGGCGGCGUGCCUAAUACAUGCAAGUAGAACGCUGAAGCUUGGUGCUUGCACCGAGCGGAUGAGUUGCGAACGGGUGAGUAACGCGUAGGUAACCUGCCUCUUAGCGGGGGAUAACUAUUGGAAACGAUAGCUAAUACCGCAUAAAAGUCGAUAUCGCAUGAUAUUGAUUUGAAAGGUGCAAUUGCAUCACUAAGAGAUGGACCUGCGUUGUAUUAGCUAGUUGGUGAGGUAACGGCUCACCAAGGCGACGAUACAUAGCCGACCUGAGAGGGUGAUCGGCCACACUGGGACUGAGACACGGCCCAGACUCCUACGGGAGGCAGCAGUAGGGAAUCUUCGGCAAUGGGGGCAACCCUGACCGAGCAACGCCGCGUGAGUGAAGAAGGUUUUCGGAUCGUAAAGCUCUGUUGUAAGAGAAGAACGAGUGUGAGAGUGGAAAGUUCACACUGUGACGGUAACUUACCAGAAAGGGACGGCUAACUACGUGCCAGCAGCCGCGGUAAUACGUAGGUCCCGAGCGUUAUCCGGAUUUAUUGGGCGUAAAGCGAGCGCAGGCGGUUAGAUAAGUCUGAAGUUAAAGGCUGUGGCUUAACCAUAGUACGCUUUGGAAACUGUUUAACUUGAGUGCAGAAGGGGAGAGUGGAAUUCCAUGUGUAGCGGUGAAAUGCGUAGAUAUAUGGAGGAGCACCGGUGGCGAAAGCGGCUCUCUGGU
Molecule: ribosomal RNA, 722 nt
Filed under: uncultured Bacilli bacterium
Lineage: Bacteria; Bacillati; Bacillota; Bacilli
Description: bacterial SSU rRNA
Rfam family: Bacterial small subunit ribosomal RNA
Source: RNAcentral